CAUCAGUCCCUUCGCGACGGAAAGCCGUGAACCCCGCCAGGCCCGGAAGGGAGCAACGGUAGCGGUGCAUCCGGGCGCCGAAGACCGGCGGGUGUGA
This 97-nucleotide signal recognition particle RNA is filed under the name Halothiobacillus sp. RNAcentral describes it as "signal recognition particle sRNA small type". It matches the Rfam family "Bacterial small signal recognition particle RNA". Rfam says of the family: The signal recognition particle (SRP) is a universally conserved ribonucleoprotein involved in the co-translational targeting of proteins to membranes. Archaeal SRP consists of a 7S RNA and homologues of the eukaryotic SRP19 and SRP54 proteins. The record is from RNAcentral. Lineage: Bacteria; Pseudomonadati; Pseudomonadota; Gammaproteobacteria; Chromatiales; Halothiobacillaceae.